CCUACGGGUGGCUGCAGUAACGAAUCUUCCGCAAUGCGCGAAAGCGUGACGGGGCAAUGCCGCGUGCAGGAUGAAGCCCUUCGGGGUGUAAACUGCUGUCAGGGUGCAGGAAUGAAAUGACCAUACCCAAAGGAAGCACCGGCUAACUCUGUGCCAGCAGCCGCGGUAAUACAGAGGGUGCGAGCGUUAAUCGGAAUCACUGGGCUUAAAGGGUGCGUAGGCGGAUGCAUAGGCGCUUUGUGAAAUCCCACGGCUCAACCGUGGAAUUGCUUGGC
Molecule: ribosomal RNA, 275 nt
Filed under: uncultured Phycisphaera sp.
Lineage: Bacteria; Pseudomonadati; Planctomycetota; Phycisphaerae; Phycisphaerales; Phycisphaeraceae
Description: partial 16S ribosomal RNA
Rfam family: Bacterial small subunit ribosomal RNA
Source: RNAcentral